This 253-nucleotide ribosomal RNA is filed under the name uncultured bacterium. Its description in RNAcentral is "partial 16S ribosomal RNA". It matches the Rfam family "Bacterial small subunit ribosomal RNA", at positions 524 to 776 of the family's 1533-position model. The record is from RNAcentral.
UACGUAGGGUGCGAGCGUUGUCCGGAAUUAUUGGGCGUAAAGGGCUCGUAGGCGGUUUGUCGCGUCGGGAGCGAAAACCUCGGGCUUAACUCGGGGCUUGCUUUCGAUACGGGCAGACUGGAGGUAUGCAGGGGAGAACGGAAUUCCUGGUGUAGCGGUGAAAUGCGCAGAUAUCAGGAGGAACACCGGUGGCGAAGGCGGUUCUCUGGGCAUGACCUGACGCUGAGGAGCGAAAGUGUGGGGAGCGAACAGG